Molecule: long non-coding RNA, 1522 nt
Organism: Helianthus annuus (common sunflower)
Lineage: Eukaryota; Viridiplantae; Streptophyta; Magnoliopsida; Asterales; Asteraceae
Exons: 3
Source: RefSeq, a predicted model, not a curated record
CCUACCUCCUUUUUUUAACAAUCAUUUCUACCAUAGGAGAGAGAGGUUUACCUAACCGCCUCUCUCUCUCUCUUUCUCUCCAUAUCUCAUGUUAUGUUCUUCUUCCUCUUGAUUUUUAGUUAUAAAUCUUCACCUGUCACCAUCUUCGGUCGGAUUGUGGUUGUACUCGACGCUCUGCUACGACUCGGACGCAAACUGUUGCCGGAUUCUCCCGUGAAAGAAACAUACACUCCGUUUCUCAUCGUCUUACCUCCAAUUUGUUGUUACUUUGAUUUUGAUUGAGUGUUUAUUUGCUUUUGAUUUAGUGUUUUUUUGGUUGAAUUGCAUCUGCAAUAAGUUCAACAUUAUUGGCAUGGUGGGCUGGGGGAAGUGGAAGGUGAUGGGUUGGGGAGGUGGAAGGUGGGGAGGUGGAAGGUGAUGGGUUGGGGAGGUGGAAGGUGGGGUACACAGGUACAACUCACUCAUUUCUUUCUUUAUAGCCAUCCGAUUUGGUAGGCUAUAUUUUUGUAGCCUAUUAGUGUUGCUAACCUUUGUUAUUUUACUUCCAAAAUCUGCCAUUUUUCGUUACCAAUUUGUAAUACAUAGUGACAGGGUGUUUGUAUGUGAAUAUGAGGUGGGGAAUCUAGAGUUCUACAGGAUCUAGGUAAUUCAACAUAUAUGGAAGAAAUGUCGUGAUGUUGGACUACAGGAAAUUUCUUGAGGAUGUUUUUUGGCCAUGUAAACGUUCACGCUAAUUCAAAGGAUUUUCAAUUUAAUGUGAAUGAGGAAUACUAUAGUUUCGGAGGAGAUGAAGACACUGGUGAAGCGUUAUUACUUCGAUUCUUCGUAGGUUCAGGAUACUUUAAUGCAGUGGCGGACCCGGAAAUUAUUUGCUGGGGGUGCGGAGAAGGUGUUCAACCAUAUUUUCAAGGGAUCCGGUCGAGUUUUUUGCCUAAAAUAUACACUAAAUUUUUUUUUUCAAGGGGUGCGGCCGCCCACCCUGGCCAAAGGGUAGGUCCGCCCAUGCUUUAAUGGUCACCAGCAGUGAUUUCUCUUUCUCGCCAGAAUUUAGCAUUGGUCGCUAUUGCAUUCAGCGUCGAACCCGACUGUGGUUAUCAUCUUCUCCAAGUAAAUUGAGUAAAUUGUAAGCAAGGCUUCAACAUCAACGGAUUUGACCAACCCCAUUUGGGAUUUCAUUUAAAGAAUUAUAUGUUCUGCUUACGAUUCAGUUUUGGAUCCGUUUAAUGGUGGUGAUAGAAGGAUUAGAAGCAGCGUGGACAACAUGAAUUAAAUCAGUAGUUGAACGGUGACAUAAACAAUGACGUGUGGCAGCAUCACGAUUUUAUUUAUUUGUUUUUACAUUUUCAGUUGUUAUAACGAGCGUACUGUAACGAAACAGACCGAUAGCGAUCAAAUUUAUGUCGUGGAACGUGGAGAAUCCCGGCGCAACGCGCCGGUCUUCGUACCCCUAGUCACUUUAAUUAUGCAUUUGUCACUAUCCCAUCUUAAUAAUUGACUUACUUUAAUCAAAAGUAAAGAUCCA